This 301-nucleotide ribosomal RNA is filed under the name uncultured bacterium. RNAcentral describes it as "partial 16S ribosomal RNA". It matches the Rfam family "Bacterial small subunit ribosomal RNA", at positions 509 to 808 of the family's 1533-position model. The record is from RNAcentral.
CAGUAGCCGCGGUAAUACGAAGGGUGCAAGCGUUACUCGGAAUUACUGGGCGUAAAGCGUGCGUAGGUGGUGGUUUAAGUCCGUUGUGAAAGCCCUGGGCUCAACCUGGGAAUUGCAGUGGAUACUGGGUCACUAGAGUGUGGUAGAGGAUAGUGGAAUUUCCGGUGUAGCAGUGAAAUGCGUAGAGAUCGGAAGGAACAUCUGUGGCGAAGGCGACUAUCUGGGCCAACACUGACACUGAGGCACGAAAGCGUGGGGAGCAAACAGGAUUAGAUACCCCCGAGUCCCUGUCUCUUAUACA